UAAGAGAAGACAUAAAAGGUUAAGGUAGGA
This 30-nucleotide non-coding RNA is filed under the name Rattus norvegicus (Norway rat). The record is from RNAcentral. Lineage: Eukaryota; Metazoa; Chordata; Mammalia; Rodentia; Muridae.